This 70-nucleotide transfer RNA is filed under the name Gekko hokouensis x Gekko yakuensis. RNAcentral's name for it is "tRNA-Val". The record is from RNAcentral. Lineage: Eukaryota; Metazoa; Chordata; Lepidosauria; Squamata; Gekkonidae.
CAAAAAGUAGCUAACACCACCUAAAGCAUUCAACUUACACUUGAAAGAUGUCUAAAAAGACCUUUUUGAG